GGUUUUAUAGUUUAAUUUAAAAUUCUGGUCUUGUAAAUCAGAGAUGAUGUAAUCUAAUACC
RNAcentral lists this transfer RNA (61 nucleotides) under Cloeon dipterum. RNAcentral describes it as "tRNA-Thr". Lineage: Eukaryota; Metazoa; Arthropoda; Insecta; Ephemeroptera; Baetidae. The record is from RNAcentral.